AGCUUGCUGGGUGGAUUAGUGGCGAACGGGUGAGUAACACGUGAGUAACCUGCCCUUGACUCUGGGAUAAGCCUGGGAAACUGGGUCUAAUACCGGAUAGGAGCGCCUACCGCAUGGUGGGUGUUGGAAAGAUUUAUCGGUUUUGGAUGGACUCGCGGCCUAUCAGCUUGUUGGUGAGGUAAUGGCUCACCAAGGCGACGACGGGUAGCCGGCCUGAGAGGGUGACCGGCCACACUGGGACUGAGACACGGCCCAGACUCCUACGGGAGGCAGCAGUGGGGAAUAUUGCACAAUGGGCGCA
The sequence is a ribosomal RNA, 301 nucleotides long. It matches the Rfam family "Bacterial small subunit ribosomal RNA", at positions 77 to 379 of the family's 1533-position model.